GCGAAAGUGGCGGAAUUGGCAGACGCACCAGACUUAGGAUCUGGCGGAGCAAUCCAUGGGGGUUCGAGUCCCCCCUUUCGCACCA
RNAcentral lists this transfer RNA (85 nucleotides) under Telmatobacter bradus. RNAcentral's name for it is "tRNA-Leu". It matches the Rfam family "tRNA". Rfam says of the family: Transfer RNA (tRNA) molecules are approximately 80 nucleotides in length. Their secondary structure includes four short double-helical elements and three loops (D, anti-codon, and T loops). RNAcentral also lists the same sequence under 2 other names. Lineage: Bacteria; Pseudomonadati; Acidobacteriota; Terriglobia; Terriglobales; Acidobacteriaceae. The record is from RNAcentral.